This 251-nucleotide ribosomal RNA is filed under the name uncultured bacterium. RNAcentral describes it as "partial 16S ribosomal RNA". It matches the Rfam family "Bacterial small subunit ribosomal RNA", at positions 524 to 771 of the family's 1533-position model. The record is from RNAcentral.
UACGUAGGGUGCAGGCGUUAAUCGGAAUUACUGGGCGUAAAGCGUGCGCAGGCGGUUCGUUGUGUCGGCGGUGAAAGCCCCGGGCUUAACCCUGGGAAUGGCCGUUGAAACUGGCGAACUGGAGUGUGGCAGAGGGGGGUGGAAUUCCGCGUGGUAGCAGUGAAAUGCGUAGAGAUGCGGAGGAACACCGAUGGCGAAGGCAGCCCCCUGGGCUAACACUGACGCCUCAGGCACGAAAGCGUGGGGAGCAA